GUGUUUGUCGUUACACACAGUGGCGCCGGUGUAGGGCUGGGCAAUUGGAGGGCCUGCCUGACUUCAGCUGUCUCUGAUACUCACACAGUCAGCCUCUCUCUCUUUGUCUCUCUCUCUCUCUCUCUCUCCCCAUCUUCUCUCUCUCUCUCUCUCUCUCUCUCUCUCUCUCUCUCUCCCCAUCUUCUCUCUCUCUAUCCUCUCUCUCUUUCCUCCCUAUCUCUCUCUCUUUUCUCUCUCUUUCCUCUCUCUCNNNNNNNNNNNNNNNNNNNNNNNNNNNNNNNNNNNNNNNNNNNNNNNNNNNNNNNNNNNNNNNNNNNNNNNNNNNNNNNNNNNNNNNNNNNNNNNNNNNNCCCUUCCUGCCGUUACCCUCCCCCUUCCUGCCCGUUACACCCCCCCCACCUGCCCGUACCCUCCCCCCCGUCCUGCCCGUUACACCCCCCCCACCUGCCCGUUACACUCCCCCCUUCCUGCCCGUUACACUCCCCCCUACCUGCCCGUUACACUCCCCCCUACUGCCCUUAACUCCCCUACCUGCCCGUUACACUCCUCCCCUUCCUGCCCGUUACACUCCCCCCUACCUGCCCGUUACACUCCCCCCUACCUGCCCGUUACACUCCCCCCUUCCUGCCCGUUACACUCUCCCCCCUUCCUGCCCGUUACACUCCCCCCCUUCCUGCCCGUUACACUCCCCCCUACCUGCCCGUUACACUCCCCCUACCUGCCCGUUACACUCCCCCCUACCUGCCCGUUACACUCCCCCUACCUGCCCGUUACACUCCCCCUACCUCGCCGUUACACUCCCCCCUACCUGCCCGUUACACUCCCCCUUCCUGCCCGUUACACUCCCCCUUCUGCCGUUUACACUCACCCCCCUUCCUGCCCGUUACACUCCCCCCCUACCUGCCCGUUACACUCCCCCCCUUCCUGCCCGUUACACUCCCCCCUUCCUGCCCGUUACACUCCCCCCCUACCUGCCCGUUCCACUCACCCCCUACCUGCCCGUUACACUCCCCCCCUUCCUGCCCGUUACACUCCCCCCUACCUGCCCGUUACACUCCCCCCUACCUGCCCGUUACACUCCCCCCUACCUGCCCGUUACACUCCCCCCCUACCUGCCCGUUACACUCCCCCCCCUACCUGCCCGUUACCACCCCUUCCUGCCCGUUACACUCCCCCCUUCCUGCCCGUUACACUCCCCCCUUACCUGCCCGUUACACUCCCCCCCUCCUGCCCGUUACACUCCCCCCUACCUGCCCGUUUCCACUCCCCCCUACUGCCUUUACACUCCCCCUUCCUGCCCGUUACACUCCCCCCUACCUGCCCGUUACCCCCCCCCCCCUACCUGCCCGUUACACUCCCCCCUACCUGCCCGUUACACUCCCCCCUACCUGCCCGUUACACUCCCCCCUACCUGCCCGUUACACUCCCCCCUUCCUGCCCGUUACACUCCCCCCUACCUGCCCGUUACACUCCCCCCUACCUGCCCGUUACACUCCCCCUCCCUGCCCGUUACACUCCCCCUCCCUGCCCGUUACACUCCCCCCUACCUGCCCGUUACACUCCCCCCUUCCUGCCCGUUACACUCCCCCCUUCCUGCCCGUUACACUCCCCCCUACCUGCCCGUUACACUCCCCCCUACCUGCCCGUUACACUCCCCCCUACCUGCCCGUUACACUCCCCCCCCCUUCCUGCCCGUUACACUCCCCCCCUUCCUGCCCGUUACACUCCCCCCUACAUGCCCGUUACACUCCCCCCUACCUGCCCGUUACACUCCCCCCUUCCUGCCCGUUACACUCCCCCCUUCCUGCCCGUUACACUCCCCCCUACCUGCCCGUUACACUCCCCCCACCUGCCCGUUACACUCCCCCAUACUGUUGCAUGCUCUGUGUCUUCAGUUCCGUUUGCGCCAUCACUUUACUACUGCUACAGCAGUGUUAUUUCUUCCCCUGCUUGGUGUGUGUGUGUGUGUGUGUGUGUGUGUGUGUGUGUGUGUGUGUGUGUGUGUUUACAUUGCUGGAUUAUUUGAUCAGAUGCUGUUUGUUGUAUGAGGCGGUUUUCUGGUAAUGAGAGCAGACUUUCUCUGAGUGGGAAUGAAUGAAUGAAUGAAUGAAUGAAUGAUUCAGCCCAUAGUCAUCCAUUUGAAGUACAUGGCUCUGAUUCAGCCAAUGGUAGUUGUACAAACAGACCACGGGCUUUGUGAUUCUGCAACCUUCCCCGUCAGCAGGAACUUUCCCUGCAGUGUGGAAAAGAUUCUGAGUUUCCCCUGAGUGUGAUGUGAACUGGUGUGAGACUGAACUUUGCAGCAUACUGUAUUUGGACUGUGUGUGUGGGGGGGUGGGGAGAGAGGGAGUUGUGUGUGUUUUUCUGUUGUAGGUAAGUGUGUGAGAGGGAGGUAGGAGAGAGAGACCCCUGGCGACGGUAGAAUCUCGG
This is a long non-coding RNA of Salmo trutta (river trout), 2430 nucleotides long. NCBI's taxonomy places the organism in Eukaryota, Metazoa, Chordata, Actinopteri, Salmoniformes, Salmonidae. The record is from Ensembl.